CUGGAUGGGAAAAUAAACGAGGGCUGAAGUCAGCUUCCUUGAUGUUUUAACAUUCCGUUUUAAUAUCAACUCCUCCUUUAAGAUCCGUAAACAUCGGGAGGAACGGCCUUGCUCCUUUUCUGCAGUGAGCUGGCUCUUUAUGUUUCUAAAUUCUCAACAACCUGCUGUGCUCAUCUGCCACUGUCCCUGGACCUGCAGAUUUCUGUCUCUUCUCUGCCACAUUUCCUCUGAUGCCACUCUAUCUUUAUUUUGAGAGAGAGGAGCUUUUAUUUCCAACAGCGGGAGAUAGAGUCAUGACAUAAAUGCUUGUAAUCCAGACCACGAUUUCAGGAGUACCAAAUUCCAGGUUCAGAUCAUCUGCUCUGGAAUAGACUCCCUCAUGGUCAAAAUUGGACAGAGCUCUGCUAGCCUCCAGGUACAUAUCCGUCCUGCACGCCAAUGGGCUCAGCCUGGAAAGACUGCAUGUUAUUUACUGAGUAGCAGGCCGUGCUAGUGUUGCCUGGGAGAAUCAUUUACUGUUGCCUGGUAAAUAAAUCCAGCUGCUCUAUUCUCUUAAGGCAGCCUGGAUGCAGGGAGAAGCGGACAGGCAGCGGGCUCAGUUGCCAGCAGCUGCAAAUCAGAGCUUACUCCCUGGUGAGACAGACAGUGCAGGGCUCGGGGAAGAACGCCUGGUGGGUUUUCUCUGCCUGGAGCAUCUUUGAGAAGGCACGUUUCAUCCACCCAUAAGACUUAAGAGAGACAGAAGAAAUGCCUUCUCCACGGGCAGAUGGAGUGAGCAGUGUAGAAUCCAUCACCACAGUUCAAGGCAUCUCAGAGACUCAUUUCUGAAGCCAGGGCAGAAGAAUCGUGCUGCAUCUCUACGGAAACGUAGGUUUGUCAGUGGUUUCUAUUUUUGUUUAUCUCCCAUUAUUUUUCCAGGUAUGUUUCUUCUUUCUCCGCUUGACUUCCUACCUCCUGCCCCUUCAUGUUUUUUUCUUCCCUUCCUUCCUCUUCCUCCUCUAGGAAAACAGGGGACUUUUACUUUUGUGUACUGGCUGAAAAAAAUGUAACAUCAGGAGACACUUUGAUAAUCCUGUGAUUGUGACCGUGAUAAGGAGGAGAGAAGGAAGAACAGCAAAACUAAUUUGCCCCCAUACAAAAUCACUCACCUUUUGCAGACAAACUGCCCAUUUUCUCUAUUCCAUUCAAGCUACACUGGGUGGGAAAAUUUCGAUCAUAAACUCCCUGAAGAUGGCGUUCCCAUCAUGGCUCAGUGGUUAACAAACCCAACUAGUAUCCAUGAGGACACAGGUUCGAUCCUUGGCCUCGCUCAGUGGGUUAAGGAUCCAGCAUUGCUGUGAGCUGUGGUGUAAGUCACAGAUGCAGCUCAGAUCCUGUGUUGCUGUGGCUGGGACGUAAGCCGGCGGCUACAGCUCCAAUUCAACCCCUAGCCUGGAACUUCCAUUUGCCGCAGGUGCAGCCCUGAAAAGACAACAACGACACACACACAAAAAUCACUGAAGAAUGUAAAACUGAAUUAUUUGUGUUAGGGUCUUUUUUAAAGGAAAGAUCAAUUUUUCUCUGGUUUUCAUACAUGUCACGUUCAAGUUCAUGUGUUUUUCAUGCUGGGGAGAUGGUGGGAGUGGAUUGUAUUUCAUGCAAGCAAUUCUUCUAAGGAGAUGUAUCAGUGAUAGUCAAUGCAGACUUCAAAACCUACUUCAUCUGAGACAGUGAACAUCUAGGGAAACAUGAAUGUACCUUUUUUCUAUACAACUAAAACCCAUCAGAGUAGCCCAGGUAGCCAAUAAUUCAAGUGCCAUUAUCUCAUUAUCCAUAGGAUCAAUUUUGGUCCCUGUGGUGCACCUGUAGACACUUGCUGCUGCCAACUGGGAAAGAAAAAAGCACAACCUAGAAGUUAUGAAUUAUGGUUUGUUCAGCAGAUUUUCUGGGGACUUUAAGCCCAGGAGGCAGCCUCUCAGCUCCGAGGACCGGCUCUGAAAAGGCCAAGGAGGAGCCAGGAUAUAGAAGAGUUUUUGCAGCAAAGACCAGAUAACAGCAAAAGAUUACUGU
Molecule: long non-coding RNA, 2049 nt
Filed under: Sus scrofa (pig)
Lineage: Eukaryota; Metazoa; Chordata; Mammalia; Artiodactyla; Suidae
Description: lncRNA (ENSSSCG00050056697.1)
Source: RNAcentral